AGCACAAGAUGGUCGCGCAAAGCUAGCUUUGUGAGGAAAGUCCUGGCUGGCGCAAGCUGAGAUGCGAUUUACGCAAGGCGUGGAGCCUGCUUGCAGAGAAGGUGCUUGACGCAAGUCAAGGUAGGGAAACCUAACGGCGGGGAAAAUACCCUUUAUUUAGGGGAUGAUUACCCAUAAAGUGCUAUAGUGACGAUGCUGCUUGGUAACGAGCAGAGUGAGACGACGUAAACCCCACCUUGCCAGAAACCCUCUGAGAGGGGAACUUUUCAAGGGGAAAUGAACCUAAGGAAAGCACGAGUCUUCGUGAGAAAGAUGACCAUCCACGACAGAACCAGGCUUAGUGU
Molecule: RNase P RNA, 344 nt
Filed under: Bacillota bacterium LX-D
Lineage: Bacteria; Bacillati; Bacillota
Description: RNase P RNA component class B
Rfam family: Bacterial RNase P class B
About the family: Ribonuclease P (RNase P) is a ubiquitous endoribonuclease, found in archaea, bacteria and eukarya as well as chloroplasts and mitochondria. Its best characterised activity is the generation of mature 5'-ends of tRNAs by cleaving the 5'-leader elements of precursor-tRNAs.
Source: RNAcentral